AUUKCUCUAUUUGAUAGCUGUCAAAGGGAGGAUGUGGUUUGUUAAAAUUGAAAAUUUAGUCUGUGUCUUUCCUAUUCUGUGGUCUUCCAGGAGGACUGCAUACGGUUUUUCUUCGAGCUUCAGGAGCUACGGGAUGGAGAUAAGUGCUACUGUGAAAGGUGUGGAGAGAAGACGCCAUCCAAACAGGGCUUCAAACUCAUCUCCCUGCCCCCUGUCUUGUGUCUUCACCUGAAGAGAUUCCGACAUUCCCAUGGUUACACCAGGAAACUACACYKCAAAGUCACCUUCCCAGAAACCCUGAACAUUUCUGAGAUCUUGACAGCAGGGGCACUGUCAGAACGUUAUGUACAGAGUGACAGCCAGUACAGUUUGUGUGCAGUCAUAGUGCACUCCGGCGAUGCCAUGUUUGGACACUACACAGCAUACGUUCGUCACAAGGACCAGAGCUGGUACUACGCUAAUGAUCGUUAUGUACGGCAGGUUAGCUGGAAGGAAGUACAGAACACCUAUGGAGGAAGUCUGAGAGAGACAGCAUAUAUGCUGCUCUACAGACGAACCCCAGAGGGAAAGCAACAGGAGUGGUCCUCAGGCCGACGGAGCUAAAGGGAUAAAGGGUGGAGACUGGAGACUGUAGGAAUCAAGGACCAAACACAAAGUGCACAACUACCUAUUGGAGGGGUUGUUGUCUUCAUUUAGCAUYGGGGAUGUCCUUUAUCUUGAUGAUUUUCACUUUAAAAUGAUGGGUAAUGGGUCAUUGUUUAUGUGCAAUUACAUGGAUUUGUUUAAGUAUAUUUGGUGUGGUGUGUAUAUGUUUUGAGGUUUUGUUUAUGCUGGAUACAUUGGACAUUCAUAGGCCAUUACUGAGUUUAGCCAAUAGGUGGAGGCAAAGACCCUUCACCCUGUCAUUAGUACAGUCAUCUUGUAAGCUCCAGAGACCACACGUUCUGAAACCGUUCUGAAACUACUAUAAGACGGGUGGUUUGAAGAGAGUGCUGAGUUGAGGUAUUCUGGGGGAAAACCUGAAAAAGGCCAUUGACUCAUUGGUGAUAAUAUUUGCCUGACAUGGAAAACAUGUGACUCACCUUGUUUCAGAACAAUUGGUUUAUACAGUAGUUACCGGUACUCUGUUCUGUUUCGAUUUCAYUACAGAUAUAAUGCUGUCAACAGAGAAAUAAACGGUCAUUUUCCCAGCUAGCACCUGAAAAUG
Molecule: non-coding RNA, 1207 nt
Organism: Salvelinus sp. IW2-2015
Lineage: Eukaryota; Metazoa; Chordata; Actinopteri; Salmoniformes; Salmonidae
Source: RefSeq, a predicted model, not a curated record